Long non-coding RNA from Bos taurus (domestic cattle), 1384 nucleotides. The record is from Ensembl. NCBI's taxonomy places the organism in Eukaryota, Metazoa, Chordata, Mammalia, Artiodactyla, Bovidae.
GAGCCCAGCGCUGAUUUAUGACCAGCCUGCUGAAAGCCCGUGGAAGCCGAGGUGGGGAGAGUGGCCAGCAGGUUGCCAAGCUGGCUGAUGACCCUCCUGGAAUGAGACAGGACCAUGGAAGACAUUUUUAAACAUUGUGUCAAGAAAGCAAAACCAAGGGAGGCACAAUCCCCCUCGACCUUGAUGCCGGAUUCGCACCUGCUGGCAGAAGGGAGGCCCAUGCAUCACCAACCCCCGUGUGCUGGUUCCCCGAGGCUCAAGGUCAUGAGAGGCUUGUUCCCAAGUCUGUGCCUGGAGGCGCUCAGCCACCCCUGGCUGUUGAGGCGGGAGGAGGCUGAGCCCUCGAGAUCCCAUGGUCAGAGUCCCGGCUCCCCUUCCUGCAUGAAGGGGUCUCUGUGGUUGCCCUGCCUGGACCACUUCCCAUUCCAGACUCCGACUCUUCCCUUGGACCAUUUCAAGGGAGGGACAUGCAGUGCUGGGGCUGGAAGGAUAAUAGCAACGGUAGCUGCCAUUUAUUAAGCACCAACUGCAUGCCAGCUUCUUUCCCAGCCAGGUCAUUGCAUGCCGCCGCUUGGCGGUGCUGACCAGAAUUUUGCUGUCCUUGUCAAAGACGUGGAAGGCCUCCCAGAUGUGGUCCUCGCUGUCGCCAGCCUUCACCUUCCAGGCCAUCAGGCCCAGGAGCUCGGGGAAACCCACAGGGCCCCUGCCGUCGCAGUCCAGUUCACCCACCACUUUCUGGAGCUCGGCCUUGGUAGGGUUCGGGCCCAGUGGCCACAAGACAGUGCCAAGCUCCUGCAUGGGAAUGGUGCUGUUGCUGUCUGAGUGGAACAGGGAGAAGGCCUCCUAGACCUCAGCUACUUGCUCCUUGCUCAGUUGCUUGGCCAUGACCAUUGCUAGGAGGUGGCUGGGCAUGCAGGGAAGUGGCCGUGUGUGUGUGGAGAUGGCCUUGUGCAUGUGCAGGUGGCCAGGUGCGUGGACAGGUGGCCGAGAGCACACGGAGGUGGCUGUGCUGCACGAGCCCAUCUUUCACCGGCACUUAAAAGCAGCCGGGUUGUCCCUCCCCUCGCAUGCUCCCCACCCUGCGGUUGCCUAGAGCCCAGGUCCUGUUGGGACAGGAGUCCAGGACCAGGCAGCAGGCUGGCCAGCUGGUUGCACUGAUGCCAGCAGCUCUGGGAAUGGCCAGACCCUUGUCCCUACUGGCCGGAGCUGCGGGGACAGCUUCAGAGAGGGUGGUGAUUCCCUUCCCUGCAGGAUCUAUUUGUGGUCUUCAGUCCCAUUUAUACAUUUAAGGAUUACUGCAGACUGUAAAGAGCCUUUAAAAAUGUCUAUCAAUAUUUUCUGUGUUUGACAUGAGAACUAAUAAAAUUUUAAUAUAUGUAAAUGU